AAUUUCUGCUUGGCUUCUCUCCAAAACCUACGACCU
This 36-nucleotide transfer RNA is filed under the name Buteo swainsoni x Buteo lagopus. RNAcentral describes it as "partial tRNA-Glu". The record is from RNAcentral. Lineage: Eukaryota; Metazoa; Chordata; Aves; Accipitriformes; Accipitridae.